AUACGGAGGGUGCAAGCGUUAUUCGGAAUCACUGGGCGUAAAGGACGCGUAGGCGGGUUGGCAAGUCAGAUAUGAAAUCCUACAGCUUAACUGUAGAACUGCAUUUGAAACUGCUAACCUAGAGUAUGGGAGGGGGAGAUGGAAUUAGUGGUGUAGGGGUAAAAUCCGUAGAUAUCACUAGGAAUACCGAAAGCGAAGGCGAUCUCCUGGAACAUAACUGACGCUAAGGCGUGAAAGCGUGGGGAGCAAACAGGAUUAGAAACCCCAGUAGUCC
RNAcentral lists this ribosomal RNA (274 nucleotides) under uncultured bacterium. RNAcentral describes it as "partial 16S ribosomal RNA". It matches the Rfam family "Bacterial small subunit ribosomal RNA", at positions 523 to 796 of the family's 1533-position model. The record is from RNAcentral.